UACGUAGGGUGCAGGCGUUAAUCGGAAUUACUGGGCGUAAAGCGUGCGCAGGCGGUCUUUUAAGUCAGAUGUGAAAUCCCCCGGGCUUAACCUGGGAAUGGCAUUUGGGACUGCAAGGCUGGAGUGUGGCAGAGGAGACUGGAAUUCCUGGUGUAGCAGUGAAAUGCGUAGAUAUCAGGAGGAAUACCGAUGGCGGAAGGCAGGUCUCUGGGCUGACACUGACGCUCAUGCACGAAAGCGUGGGGAGCAAACAGGAUUACGAAACCGGAGUAGAUCCA
RNAcentral lists this ribosomal RNA (278 nucleotides) under uncultured bacterium. RNAcentral describes it as "partial 16S ribosomal RNA". It matches the Rfam family "Bacterial small subunit ribosomal RNA", at positions 524 to 797 of the family's 1533-position model. The record is from RNAcentral.